Long non-coding RNA from Saccostrea cuccullata (small rock oyster), 1257 nucleotides. RefSeq lists it as uncharacterized. The transcript has 3 exons. The record is from RefSeq and is a predicted model, not a curated record. NCBI's taxonomy places the organism in Eukaryota, Metazoa, Mollusca, Bivalvia, Ostreida, Ostreidae.
AGAUAGUUGUUUUCAGUAUGUGUGUACCAGUGUGUACAUAUACCACUUUCACUUUGAAUUUUUAGGGUGCUGGCAACAUAUGCAACAAUACUUUCAUCUGUGAAUACCCACUUGCUAAGCCCACCAUGAUCUACGAAUGCCAAUUAAUAUGUAAGGACACCAAUGAACAGACACUUUCCAAUUAUCGUACAUCAUAUAUAUGGGUGGUCAAACUCACUGGAUGGUUUAUCAACACUCCCAUGCUCACGAACAGCCUUGCCCCAGGAAUUUUGCCCUGAAGUAACAUUGCAGUCUAUUGUCUCCCUUCUUUUUACAACCCUGGCAGCCAUGCAGGAUAGAAGCUGAUCACUUGAACUUGAAAGCAAAUUAUAAUGUCUUGGACAAGUCAAAGAAUUUCCUCCAGUCUUACAGAGAAGUAACAGUUGAUAAGAGAAUGGUGGACACAAAGUAAAAGUGCUCUUCAACAUUUUGUUGAAGAUUUCAGUCUGAUUUGGAAUUCAUCUUGCAAUAUAUCUGGAUUUGUAUAUUUGGAUAUAAGCAUCAAAUUUUCAACUUAUUGACUAAGCAGUUUUGGGCUAAAUAUUGCCAAUGCUAUUUAUUAUUAUUAUUUCCCUCCAAGAUAACAUGUCAAGUCUUUAUUGUACCCCUUAAGCUCAGUUAUACCAGAAAAAUCUUGUAAUGAAAUCAUUUAGUUUUUUUUUUCUUGUUAGAUUAAAUCCAUGAAAAUAAAGAUUAUUUUUAAUGGCAUCAAGAGAAUGGAUUUCUUGUUUAACAAAAAGAUUGUAUACAUGUUUUGCUAGGGGUUUGUAAGAAGCAGACCAGAAUUCUUUGCUUGCAAAUUUUGUCGUUCGCCAUUUUUAUUACGUCAACUAUUAGAUGAUUUAUCCAUGUAUGAAGCAUUUCAAAAUUGAUAUUUACUUACAGUUUAAAGCAGAAUUCUGUACUGAUAUGACCUUGACCCCCUGAAGAACAAGAGUGUCAAGGUCAAUUUUUUUAAUACAAAAAUGUUCUUUCAUCUUUAUGGCCCAUAUAUAUCUUACAAACAAUAUCAUGAAAUAUACAAAAAGUGUCUAGAAUGUGUCCAGAAUGUGAAAUAACAAACAUGUAUAUAGCCAAAACCUUUAAAAUGUUGUUGCUUAGCAACCACUAAAAGGUCAUUAAACAGAUAUUUGAACUAAAAUGAUGCAUGGAUAUUGCAGUUCUGAUCCCUUUUUGAGAGUAUAUUCAGAAUUUUCCAUUUCAGCAUCCAUUGUGUAA